Molecule: ribosomal RNA, 443 nt
Filed under: uncultured bacterium
Lineage: Bacteria
Description: partial 16S ribosomal RNA
Rfam family: Bacterial small subunit ribosomal RNA
Source: RNAcentral
CCUACGGGAGGCAGCAGUGGGGAAUAUUGGGCAAUGGGCGCAAGCCUGACCCAGCAACGCCGCGUGAAGGAAGAAGGCUUUCGGGUUGUAAACUUCUUUUCUCAGGGACGAAGAAAGUGACGGUACCUGAGGAAUAAGCCACGGCUAACUACGUGCCAGCAGCCGCGGUAAUACGUAGGUGGCAAGCGUUAUCCGGAUGUAUUGGGUGUAAAGGGCGUGUAGGCGGGAGCGCAAGUCAGAUGUGAAAACUCAGGGCUCAACCCUGAGCCUGCAUUUGAAACUGUGUUUCUUGAGUGCUGGGGAGGCAAUCGGAAUUCCGUGUGUAGCGGUGAAAUGCGUAGAUAUACGGAGGAACACCAGUGGCGAAGGCGGAUUGCUGGACAGUAACUGACGCUGAGGCGCGAAAGCGUGGGGAGCAAACAGGAUUAGAUACCCCUGUAGUC